CCGGUAGCCCCACUAGUCUGAGAUACCACUUGGAAACAGGUGCUAAUACCGGAUAAGAAAGCAGAUCGCAUGAUCAGCUUUUAAAAGGCGGCGUAAGCUGUCGCUAUGGGAUGACCCCGCGGUGCAUUAGCUAGUUGGUAAGGUAAAGGCUUACCAAGGCGAUGAUGCAUAGCCGAGUUGAGAGACUGAUCGGCCACAUUGGGACUGAGACACGGCCCAA
This 220-nucleotide ribosomal RNA is filed under the name uncultured bacterium. RNAcentral's name for it is "partial 16S ribosomal RNA". It matches the Rfam family "Bacterial small subunit ribosomal RNA", at positions 118 to 334 of the family's 1533-position model. The record is from RNAcentral.